CCUACGGGAGGCAGCAGUGGGGAAUCUUGCGCAAUGGGCGAAAGCCUGACGCAGCCAUGCCGCGUGAAUGAUGAAGGUCUUAGGAUUGUAAAAUUCUUUCACCGGGGACGAUAAUGACGGUACCCGGAGAAGAAGCCCCGGCUAACUUCGUGCCAGCAGCCGCGGUAAUACGAAGGGGGCUAGCGUUGCUCGGAAUUACUGGGCGUAAAGGGAGCGUAGGCGGAUAGUUUAGUCAGAGGUGAAAGCCCAGGGCUCAACCUUGGAAUUGCCUUUGAUACUGGCUAUCUUGAGUGUGGGAGAGGUAUGUGGAACUCCGAGUGUAGAGGUGAAAUUCGUAGAUAUUCGGAAGAACACCAGUGGCGAAGGCGACAUACUGGCCCAUUACUGACGCUGAGGCUCGAAAGCGUGGGGAGCAAACAGGAUUAGAUACCCUGGUAGUCCACGCCGUAAACGAUGAGUGCUAGUUGUCGGCAUGCANGCAUGUCGGUGACGCGAGCUACGCAUAAGACACUCCGCCGUCGGGUAGGUACGGUCGCGACGAAGUUAAACUAACAAGAAGUAGUAGACGNGAGAGAGCGACGACGACGACGACGGAGGAGGAG
Molecule: ribosomal RNA, 602 nt
Filed under: uncultured bacterium
Lineage: Bacteria
Description: bacterial SSU rRNA
Rfam family: Bacterial small subunit ribosomal RNA (bases 1-517)
Source: RNAcentral